CUACGGGGGGUGCAAGCGUUGUCCGGAAUCAUUGGGCGUAAAGGGUUCGUAGGUGGAAUUAUAAGUCUGGUGUGAAAGCCCACAGCUCAACUGUGGAACUGCACUGGAUACUGUUUUUCUUGAGUUAUAGAGGGGUUUGUGGAAUUUCUGGUGUAGAGGUGAAAUUUGUAGAGAUCAGAAUGAACACCGGUGGCGAAGGCGACAAACUGGCUAUUAACUGACACUGAGGAACGAAAGCGUGGGGAGCGAACAGGAUUAGAUACCCUAGUAGUCC
This 274-nucleotide ribosomal RNA is filed under the name uncultured bacterium. Its description in RNAcentral is "partial 16S ribosomal RNA". It matches the Rfam family "Bacterial small subunit ribosomal RNA", at positions 523 to 796 of the family's 1533-position model. The record is from RNAcentral.